RNAcentral lists this ribosomal RNA (332 nucleotides) under uncultured eukaryote. RNAcentral's name for it is "partial 18S ribosomal RNA". The record is from RNAcentral.
GAUGCAGAAGAGUUAAUUGCUCGUAGUUGAACUUCUGGCCGCGUACAGGUUUGGCUUCAGUCGACUUGUUAUGCAGUCAUCCGUCUGCAAACUUAGUCGGCCUUUACUGGUUCGACUAGGAAAGCAGACAAUUUACCUUGAAAAAAUUAGAGUGUUUCAGGCAGGUAACCCCCGGAAUUUUUUUAGCAUGCAAUAAUGCUUGCCGAGUCAACUCCUUUGGUGGGAUUAGGAACUUAGGGAUGAUUAAAAAGAACAGGUGGGGGGCUAAAUUUUUUUUUUUUCGGGGGGAAAAUUUCGGGUUUUUUUUAAAAAAAAAAUUUUCAAAACCUUUU